GUGCCAGCCGCCGCGGUAAUUCCAGCUCCAAUAGCGUAUAUUAAAGUUGUUGUGGUUAAAAAGCUCGUAGUUGAACCUUGGGCCUGGCUGGCCGGUCCGCCUCACCGCGUGCACUGGUCCGGCCGGGCCUUUCCCUCUGUGGAACCCCAUACCCUUCACUGGGCGUGGCGGGGAAACAGGACAUUUACUUUGAAAAAAUUAGAGUGCUCCAGGCAGGCCUAUGCUCGAAUACAUUAGCAUGGAAUAAUAAAAUAGGACGCGCGGUUCUAUUUUGUUGGUUUAUAGGACCGCCGUAAUGAUUAAUAGGGACAGUCGGGGGCAUCAGUAUUCAACUGUCAGAGGUGAAAUUCUUGGAUCAGUUGAAGACUAACUACUGCGGAAGCAUUUGCCAAGGAUGUUUUCAUUAAUCAGGAACGAAAGUUAGGGGAUCGAAGACGAUCAGAUACCGUCGUAGUCUUAACCAUAAACUAUGCCGACUAGGGAUCGGACGGUGUUAUUCAUGACCCGUUCGGCACCUUACGAGAAAUCAAAGUGCUUGGGCUCCAGGGGGAGUAUGGUCGCAAGGCUGAAACUUAAAGAAAUUGACGGAAGGGCACCACCAGGGGUGGAGCCUGCGGCUUAAUUUGACUC
Molecule: ribosomal RNA, 630 nt
Filed under: uncultured Ascomycota
Lineage: Eukaryota; Fungi; Ascomycota
Description: SSU rRNA
Rfam family: Eukaryotic small subunit ribosomal RNA
Source: RNAcentral